Molecule: ribosomal RNA, 258 nt
Filed under: uncultured bacterium
Lineage: Bacteria
Description: partial 16S ribosomal RNA
Rfam family: Bacterial small subunit ribosomal RNA
Source: RNAcentral
ACGGCGCACGGGUGAGUAUCACGUGGGGUAAUCAACCCUUCGGCGGGGGACGAACCUCGGGAAACCGGGGCUAAUACCGCAUACGUCCUUUUCUCCCUCGGGAGGAUUGGGGAAAGAGGGCCUCUCCUUGGAAGCUCUCACCGGAGGACGAGCCCGCGGCCCAUCAGCUUUGUAGGUGGGGUAACGGCCUACCUAGGCAACGACGGGUAGCUGGUCUGAGAGGAUGAUCAGCCACACUGGAACUGAGACACGGUCCAG